RNAcentral lists this ribosomal RNA (432 nucleotides) under uncultured bacterium. RNAcentral's name for it is "partial 16S ribosomal RNA". It matches the Rfam family "Bacterial small subunit ribosomal RNA", at positions 29 to 507 of the family's 1533-position model. The record is from RNAcentral.
ACGAACGCUGGCGGCAUGCCUAACACAUGCAAGUCGAACGAGACCUUCGGGUCUAGUGGCGCACGGGUGCGUGACGCGUGGGAACCUGCCCUUAGGUUCGGAAUAACUCCCCGAAAGGGGUGCUAAUACCGGAUAAUGUCUUCGGACCAAAGAUUUAUCGCCUUUGGAUGGGCCCGCGUUGGAUUAGCUAGUUGGUAGGGUAAAAGCCUACCAAGGCGACGAUCCAUAGCUGGUCUGAGAGGAUGAUCAGCCACACUGGGACUGAGACACGGCCCAGACUCCUACGGGAGGCAGCAGUGGGGAAUAUUGGACAAUGGGCGAAAGCCUGAUCCAGCAAUGCCGCGUGAGUGAUGAAGGCCUUAGGGUUGUAAAGCUCUUUUACCCGGGAUGAUAAUGACAGUACCGGGAGAAUAAGCUCCGGCUAACUCCGUG